GCCCCGUCCGGGCCUCCGGGAUGCCUUCUAAGCAGCGGGUCGCAGGUUCGAGUCCUGCCGGGGGCG
RNAcentral lists this transfer RNA (66 nucleotides) under Actinomycetota bacterium. Its description in RNAcentral is "tRNA-Arg". The record is from RNAcentral. Lineage: Bacteria; Bacillati; Actinomycetota.